Molecule: ribosomal RNA, 1498 nt
Filed under: uncultured bacterium
Lineage: Bacteria
Description: bacterial SSU rRNA
Rfam family: Bacterial small subunit ribosomal RNA
Source: RNAcentral
AGAGUUUGAUCAUGGCUCAGAUUGAACGCUGGCGGCAGGCUUAACACAUGCAAGUCGAGCGGAGCGAGGGUGCUUGCACCUUAGCUUAGCGGCGGACGGGUGAGUAAUGCUUAGGAAUCUGCCUAUUAGUGGGGGACAACAUUCCGAAAGGGAUGCUAAUACCGCAUACGCCCUACGGGGGAAAGCAGGGGAUCUUCGGACCUUGCGCUAAUAGAUGAGCCUAAGUCGGAUUAGCUAGUUGGUGGGGUAAAGGCCUACCAAGGCGACGAUCUGUAGCGGGUCUGAGAGGAUGAUCCGCCACACUGGGGCUGAGACACGGCCCAGACUCCUACGGGAGGCAGCAGUGGGGAAUAUUGGACAAUGGGGGGAACCCUGAUCCAGCCAUGCCGCGUGUGUGAAGAAGGCCUUUUGGUUGUAAAGCACUUUAAGCGAGGAGGAGGCGCUCUAGGAUAAUACCCUAGAUGCGUGGACGUUACUCGCAGAAUAAGCACCGGCUAACUCUGUGCCAGCAGCCGCGGUAAUACAGAGGGUGCGAGCGUUAAUCGGAUUUACUGGGCGUAAAGCGCGCGUAGGUGGCUAAUUAAGUCAAAUGUGAAAUCCCCGAGCUUAACUUGGGAAUUGCAUUCGAUACUGGUUAGCUAGAGUAUGGGAGAGGAUGGUAGAAUUCCAGGUGUAGCGGUGAAAUGCGUAGAGAUCUGGAGGAAUACCGAUGGCGAAGGCAGCCAUCUGGCCUAAUACUGACACUGAGGUGCGAAAGCAUGGGGAGCAAACAGGAUUAGAUACCCUGGUAGUCCAUGCCGUAAACGAUGUCUACUAGCCGUUGGGGCCUUUGAGGCUUUAGUGGCGCAGCUAACGCGAUAAGUAGACCGCCUGGGGAGUACGGUCGCAAGACUAAAACUCAAAUGAAUUGACGGGGGCCCGCACAAGCGGUGGAGCAUGUGGUUUAAUUCGAUGCAACGCGAAGAACCUUACCUGGCCUUGACAUACAGAGAACUUUCCAGAGAUGGAUUGGUGCCUUCGGGAACUCUGAUACAGGUGCUGCAUGGCUGUCGUCAGCUCGUGUCGUGAGAUGUUGGGUUAAGUCCCGCAACGAGCGCAACCCUUUUCCUUACUUGCCAGCAUUUCGGAUGGGAACUUUAAGGAUACUGCCAGUGACAAACUGGAGGAAGGCGGGGACGACGUCAAGUCAUCAUGGCCCUUACGGCCAGGGCUACACACGUGCUACAAUGGUCGGUACAAAGGGUUGCUACACAGCGAUGUGAUACUAAUCUCAAAAAGCCGAUCGUAGUCCGGAUUGGAGUCUGCAACUCGACUCCAUGAAGUCGGAAUCGCUAGUAAUCGCGGAUCAGAAUGCCGCGGUGAAUACGUUCCCGGGCCUUGUACACACCGCCCGUCACACCAUGGGAGUUUGUUGCACCAGAAGUAGGUAGUCUAACCUUAGGGAGGACGCUUACCACGGUGUGGCCGAUGACUGGGGUGAAGUCGUAACAAGGUAACC